Molecule: ribosomal RNA, 253 nt
Filed under: uncultured bacterium
Lineage: Bacteria
Description: partial 16S ribosomal RNA
Rfam family: Bacterial small subunit ribosomal RNA
Source: RNAcentral
UACGGAGGGUGCGAGCGUUACCCGGAUUUACUGGGUGUAAAGGGCGUGUAGGCGGUUUCUCAAGUCCGGUGCUAAAGACCGAAGCUCAACUUCGGGAGUGCGCUGGAUACUGUGAAGCUAGACGGUCGGAGAGGGUAGCGGAAUUCUCGGAGUAGCGGUGAAAUGCGCAGAUACCGAGAGGAACGCCAAUAGCGAAAGCAGCUACCUGGACGAUUUGUGACGCUGAGGCGCGAAAGCGUGGGGAGCAAACCGG